UACGUAGGGGGCAAGCGUUGUCCGGAUUUAUUGGGCGUAAAGAGCGUGUAGGCGGCCAGGUAGGUCUGCUGUGAAAACUCGAGGCUUAACCUCGAGCUGUCGGCGGAAACCAUCUGGCUAGAGUCCGGAAGAGGAGAGUGGAAUUCCUGGUGUAGCGGUGAAAUGCGCAGAUAUCAGGAAGAACACCUAUGGCGAAGGCAGCUCGCUGGGACGGUACUGACGCUGAGACGCGAAAGCGUGGGGAGCGAACAGG
RNAcentral lists this ribosomal RNA (253 nucleotides) under uncultured bacterium. RNAcentral describes it as "partial 16S ribosomal RNA". It matches the Rfam family "Bacterial small subunit ribosomal RNA", at positions 524 to 776 of the family's 1533-position model. The record is from RNAcentral.